Molecule: long non-coding RNA, 240 nt
Organism: Helicoverpa zea (corn earworm)
Lineage: Eukaryota; Metazoa; Arthropoda; Insecta; Lepidoptera; Noctuidae
Exons: 2
Source: RefSeq, a predicted model, not a curated record
GUUUGGUCUUGACACGGUGUGCUUACUUAACCUUAAAUUUUGCUUUCGGAAAGAGGUUUUAGUGCUGUUUCUGUGGUGUGUUUUUGUUUUUUGUUUGGUGAAGGAUUUUUCUCUACAAUCGCUGUAGUCACUAGAGAAUAAUAAGUAUUAUUUUAUUUUUAAUUAAAAACCGAUCAGUGUCAUUUCCUACCUUGACGUUGGCAAAAUCUUCGAUACAAAUGAAGGAGCCAUAAACAAAAA